CCUAGCCUUGGAGUGGGGAAUAACAACUGGAAACAGCUGCUAAUACCGCAUGAUGCAGUUGAGUCGCAUGGCUCUGACUGCCAAAGAUUUAUCGCUCUGAGAUGGACUCGCGUCUGAUUAGCUAGUUGGUGGGGCAACGGCCCACCAAGGCGACGAUCAGUAGCCGGACUGAGAGGUUGGCCGGCCACAUUGGGACUGAGACACGGCCCAGACUCCUACGGAAGGCAGCAG
Molecule: ribosomal RNA, 231 nt
Filed under: uncultured bacterium
Lineage: Bacteria
Description: partial 16S ribosomal RNA
Rfam family: Bacterial small subunit ribosomal RNA
Source: RNAcentral